AUGGAUAAGGCAUACAUUGCCGUCCUCUCCUUCGCCUUCCUCUUCCUGCUCCACUACAUUCUGGGCAAGAAGAGCAAUGGCAGCAAGGGCGCCGUGCAGCUGCCGCCGAGCCCUCCGGCCAUCCCGUUCUUCGGCCACCUCCACCUCGUGGAGAAGCCGCUGCACGCCGCGCUGUGCCGUCUGGGGGCGCGCUACGGGCCGGUCUUCUCGCUGCGGCUCGGCGCGCGCAACGCCGUGGUGGUGUCCUCGCCGGCGUGCGCCAGGGAGUGCUUCACGGAGCACGACGUGGCCUUCGCCAACCGGCCGCAGUUCCCCUCGCAGAUGCUCGUCUCCUACGGCGGCACCUCGCUCGUCAGCUCCAGCUACGGCCCGCACUGGCGCAACCUCCGCCGCGUGGCCGCCGUGCGGCUGCUCUCCGCGCACCGCGUCGCCGGCAUGUCGGGCGUCAUCGCCGCUGAGGUGCGCGCCAUGGCGCGCCGGCUGUGCCGCGCCGCCGCGGCGUCCACCGGCGGCGGCGCCGCCCGGGUGGAGCUCAAGCGGAGUCUCUUCGAGCUCUCCCUCAGCGUGCUCAUGGAGACCAUCGCGCAGACCAAGGGGACCCGCCCGGAGGCGGACGGCGACACGGACAUGUCCCUGGAGGCGCAGGAGUUCAAGCAGGUGGUGGACGAGAUCAUCCCGCUCAUUGGCGCGGCCAACGUGUGGGACUACCUGCCGGUGAUGCGGUGGUUCGACGUGUCCGGCGUGAGGAGCAGGAUCCUGGCCACGGUGAGCAGGAGGGACGCCUUCCUCCAUCGGCUCAUCGACGCGGAGCGACGGAGGAUGGACGAGGGCGGCGCCGGCGACGAGGGCGAGAAAAAGAGCAUGAUUGCCGUGCUCCUCACUCUGCAGAAGACAGAGCCGGAGCUGUACACUGAUCAGAUGAUCAUCGCUCUGUGUGCGAAUCUCUUUGUGGCCGGAACGGAGACCACCUCAACCACGAUAGAAUGGGCCAUGUCGCUCCUGCUGAACCACCCGGCGGCGCUCAAGAAGGCCCAGGCCGAGAUGGACGCGUCCAUCGGGGCCUCCCGCAUGGUCGCCGCCGACGACGUGCCCCGCCUCAGCUACCUCCAGUGCAUCAUCAACGAGACGCUACGCCUGUACCCGGCGGCGCCGCUGCUGCUGCCGCACGAGUCCUCCGCCGACUGCAAGGUCGGCGGCUACGACGUGCCAAGCGGCACGAUGCUGAUCGUGAACGCGUACGCCAUCCACAGGGACCCGGCCGUGUGGGAGGACCCGGCGGCGUUCCGGCCGGAGCGGUUCGAGGACGGCAAGGCCGACGGGCUGCUGCUGAUGCCGUUCGGGAUGGGGCGGCGGAGGUGCCCCGGCGAGACGCUGGCGCUGCAGACGGUCGGGGUGGUUCUCGGGACGCUGGUGCAGUGCUUCGACUGGGAUCGGGUGGACGGCGCGGAGGUGGACAUGACGGAGGGGGUGGGGAUCACCAUGCCCAAGGCCGUGGCUUUGGAGGCCGUGUGUAGGCCUCGCGCGGCCAUGGGCGAUGUCCUUCAGAAGCUCUGA
This 1554-nucleotide ribosomal RNA is filed under the name Triticum aestivum (bread wheat). RNAcentral describes it as "partial small subunit ribosomal RNA". The record is from RNAcentral. Lineage: Eukaryota; Viridiplantae; Streptophyta; Magnoliopsida; Poales; Poaceae.